CAAGUUGUUGCAGUUAAACGCUCGUAGUCGUAUAUUGGCGGGCAUGUCGGGGCGUCCUCGCGGACGUGCUCGGCGUGGCCGCCUUUGUGGAGGGGGGCUGCGUGGUGCUUCACUGCAUUGCGUGGUCGCUGCCACCGUUUACUGKGAAAAAAUUAGAGUGUUCAAAGCGGGCGAUUGCCAUGAAUACAUUAGCAUGGAAUAAUAGAAUAGGACUUGGUCUUAUUUUGUUGGUUUGUKGAGAUCAGGUAAUGAUUAAGAGGGACGGUUGGGGGCAUUUGUAUUCCGACGUCAGAGGUGAAAUUCUUGGAUUGCCGGAAGACAAACAGCUGCGAAAGCGUCUGCCAAGGACGUUUUCAUUGAUCAAGAACGAAAGUAAGGGGAUCGAAGACGAUCAGAUACCGUCGUAGUCUUUACUAUAAACGAUGAGGACUGGGGAUCGGGCGUUGCCUAUUGGUACGCUCGGCACCCUUCGGGAAACCAAAGUGUUUGCUUUCUGGGGGGAGUAUGGUCGCAAGGCUGAAACUUAAAGGAAUUGACGGAAGGGCAUCACCGGGUGUGGAGCCUGCGGCUUAAUUUGACUCAACACGGGGAAACUUACCAGGUCCGGACAUAGUGAGGAUUGACAGAUUGAGAGCUCUUUCUUGAUUCUAUGGUUGGUGGUGCAUGGCCGUUCUUAGUUGGUGGAGUGAUCUGUCUGGUUAAUUCCGUUAACGAGCGAGACCUGGGCGUGCUAGCUAGGCGCGGUUACCACUUUUGGUAGCCAGGCGGCCUUCCUAGACGGACUGUGGGCGUCUAGUCCMCGGAAGCUCCAGGCAAUAACAGGUCUGAGAUGCCCUUAGAUGUUCUGGGCCGCACGCGUGCUACACUGAGCGGAKCAACGGGUGAGGAUGCGCGAGAGCGUUUCCCAAUCUCUAAAUCCGCUCGUGCUGGGGAUCGAGGCUUGCAAUUUUCCCUCUUGAACGAGGAAUACCUUGUAAGCGCGGGUCAUCAUCCCGUGCUGAAUACGUCCCUGCCCUUUGUACACACCGCCCGUCGCUCCUACCGAUUGAGUGGUCCGGUGAGGCCUUGGGAGGGCUGUGUGGACUGUGUUUCACAGACC
Molecule: ribosomal RNA, 1099 nt
Filed under: Spyridia filamentosa
Lineage: Eukaryota; Rhodophyta; Florideophyceae; Ceramiales; Spyridiaceae
Description: SSU rRNA
Source: RNAcentral